ACACACACACACACUAUUUAGAAAGCUCCCCAGGCAAUGCUGACGUGCAGCUGUGGGUGUGGAAGGCAAGACAAGACUUUAUACCUGGAUCCCUUCUUUUGUCCCAAGGGCCCUCUCUUUCCAGAUGAGGACACUGAGACCCAGAGAUUUUUCCUGACUUGUCCAAAGGCACAAAGCUAGUAAGUGGUAGCACUGGGAAUCAAACCUACGUUUCAUGACUUUUCCCCCCUUUCCUGUUUCAGUGAGAUACAACUGUCCCACAGCACUGUAUGAGCGCGAACACGUCGGCUAAGGACUUGCAUACAUUGUGAAACGAUCAACACAUUCCACAGGUGCAGCCCCGGUUUCCCCAUCUGUACGGUGAAAGGAUGAGCAAACUGAGACAAGGCACGAAGACCUACUUUCACAAGUGCCGCAAAGGUGACCCGAUGGUUAACUCUCCCUCGGGGAGGGUUUUGAACCCUCUGUCACCUGCCUUGCCUGGCUAUUGUCCUGUAGGAUUUCCACCAUCCACGACGUCCUCUAGACCCAAAGCCGUAAUCUCAGCAAGAAGCUACCCUGUUUUACAAAGGAGAAAAUGGAAGCCCAGAGAGGAACGGGACUUGCCAAGGUCACACGGGGAGUAUUCAGUGGGGCUUCAAUUCCAGUCGUGGAACAAGCAGGAAGUUGAGGUGGUCCUGGCUGGGGAUUUAACUGGUCUGCAGGUCUGUGUGUUCCUCAGAGAGCACCCCCCGCCACGACCCCCACCCCAGUCUGGAGGGCUGUGCAGUCUACCUUGUGCUCCCAACCCCCUCCCAUGGCCAAGGCCAGGCCAGAGGGUGGUGACCCCAGCCAGAGCUGGACACGCCCAGAGCUGGACACACCCUCUGGACACAUCCAGAGCUUCCUGGGAAAGACCUGACAGUGGCUGCUUUGGUAAAGCUCCUCCCAGGGCUGGUCUCAGGAAGUUCUGGGGACAGCUGGUCCUCCGGUCCGCCCUCCCGCCGCAGCCACCCUGAUGACGCACCCCACCCCUACCCCAUGUGUCUCCCAGCUUCCAGAGCUGGCGUCCUCCCUGACCCCGGGCCUUGGAAACCAUACCUUGUCGUUCAUCCCACACAAACUCCAGCCCUGCCCUGGCUGCCCAGAAAGUGACCUUUCCUCUAAGGAGGAGGCCACCAAAAAAAGGAGCUUUCACUUGAGAACAAUCCAACUGGGGUCCCCAGGUUGAGUUCCUAGGACAGAAGCAUCGGUUUCCCCAGCUGCUCCUGUGGUUCCCCACCCCCACACAAAUAUUUCAGUGUAAGGUUGGGUCCGAUGGAGGCGUCUGGGGCUGACUGAAAGGGCAGGGGAGCCCGGGCAUCCUGACCGGAGAAGGGGGCAUCCCUGUGUUACAGUGACCACAGCCCUGGGACCUAAAAAUAGUCAGAACAAUGCACCAGCCCUGGUGUCUAAGCGUGCUUGGUACUGUGCUAGCCACAUAAGGGUCUCACUGAAUUCCCACAAGCAUCCCCAGAAGCAGACACAAGUCUAUCCUUACAUUUUACAGAGGAGGAAACUGAGGCCCAGAGAACGGAGUGAUCUCACCAGGCAAUAACUAGAGCGGCUGGGAUUCAAACCCACAGCCAUGACUCUGCCUGAAGCCUGGCACUGGAGUCAGCCAUGAGAUUCUUGAGGGGCUGUCUCCGUCAUGAAUAUAUCUCCAUAUCAAUUCCCUGUGGCAGACGGUAUUUUCCAAAGAUGGCCACCACAAUUCCUCCCAUCCCACAUGCUCUCCCUACAGUGUGACAGUGACAGUCCUCUCACUGAGAGGCGGGUCUCUGGAGGGAGCUGGUAACUACGGCAGAAGUGACAUGAUGUGACUUGCAAGGCUAGGUUCUAUAAAAGAUAACAAGGCAUCCACCUGGUUCCCCUGGGAUGCUCACUCUUGGAACCCAGCUGCCAUAUUAUGUGGAAGUUCAGGCCGCACGGAAGGGUCGUGGGUAGGUGUUCCGGCUGACGGUUCCAGCUGAGGUCCCAGCUGACAGCCGGCAUCAAUUGCCAGACAUAUGCCUUCUAGAUAACUCCAGCCCCUGUCAUGGGCUGACUGCAACUGUUUGAGAAAUCCUAAGCAAGAACCACUCCCGCUGAGCCCAGUGACCCCCAGAGCCAUGAGAGACCAUAAAGUUUGGGGUGAUUUGGAUGCAGCAUAAAUAACUGGGACCCCUUCCAUCCUCUACCCCCUCACACAUCCCUGAGGCCAGCCAGGGCCCGGUACACAGGCAGUACCUUCACGUGUCUGUAAUUCACAAACACACUGAAGUGUACAGGCAGCCCUGCUUAUUCCGAUCUGUUUGUCCCGACAGCCUGGACUGUGGAAAUAAACACCCAGACGGCAGGUGUUUUACAUACUAGGCCAAUUUGGGGAAAUUGAGGCCUCCUGCUUGUGCAGUGAGGUCUCUACCAGGGCAAGGAAAGACGUCCUCCAACAUUUUGCUCUAACGGCCUUACAUUGUGUGUGGAUCAAGGACAGAGGGUAAGACACCCGGCCUUAAUCAGUUGACCUCUGGCCUCUCCUCUUUUUAAAAAAUGCUUAUUUAUUUUUGGCGGGGGCAGAGAGAGAGGGAGACAGGAUCCGAAGCAGGCUCUGCACUAACAGCGGCAAGCCCGGUGCGGGGCCCGAACUCACGAACCCCGUGGGAUCAUGGCCUGAGCCGAAGUCGGACGCUUAACCGACUAAGCCACCCAGGCGCCCAGACCUCUGGCUUCUCCUAAUCCCUGACUUUCUUUUAGACAGCUUUGUUGAGCUAUAACACUCACCCCUUUAAGGGUAUACAAGUGAAUGGUUUGAGUAUACCUACAGUUGUUCAACCAUCACUAUAAUUUCAGAGCAUUUUUAAUCACCGCCCCCCCCCAAGAAAUCCCAUAGUAAUAGCAAUUACUCCCCAGUCUCCUCCCAGGCCUAGACAGCCACUAGGCUGCCUUCUGUCUCUGUGGAUUUGUCUAGUGUGGACAUUUCACAUAAAUGGAAUCAUACAAUAUGUGAUCUUUAAUGACUGGCUGCUUUCAUUUACCAUGAUGUUUUCAAAGUCCGUUCAUAUUUACCUUUCUAUGGCUGAAUAAUAUUCCAUUGUGUGGACAGGCCACAUUUUGUUUAUCCAUUCAUCUGUUAAUGGGCAUUUGAGUCAUCUCCACUUUUUGGCUAUUCUGAACCAUGCUGCAAUGAACCUUUGUGUAUGA
Felis catus (domestic cat) is the source of this 3198-nucleotide long non-coding RNA. RefSeq lists it as uncharacterized. The transcript has 2 exons. Lineage: Eukaryota; Metazoa; Chordata; Mammalia; Carnivora; Felidae. The record is from RefSeq and is a predicted model, not a curated record.